CAAUAGCGUAUAUUAAAGUUGUUGCAGUUAAAAAGCUCGUAGUUGGAUUUCUGGCAGGAGCGACCGGUCCGCCGCAAGGUGUGCACUAGGUUGUCUCCAGUCAUCUUUGUGGGAACUGCUCUGGCAUUAGGUUGUCGGGGUUAGGGAACACAUCGUUUACUGUGAAAAAAUUAGAGUGUUUAAAGCAGGCUUAUGCCGUUGAAUACAUUAGCAUGGAAUAAUAAGAUAGGACUUUGGUGGUCUAUUUUGUUGGUUUGCACACCAAGGUAAUGAUUAAUAGGGAUAGUUGGGGGUAUUCGUAUUUAAUUGUCAGAGGUGAAAUUCUUGGAUUUAUGAAAGACGAACUACUGCGAAAGCAUUUACCAAAGAUGUUUUCAUUAAUCAAGAACGAAAGUUAGGGGAUCGAAGACGAUCAGAUACCAU
This 423-nucleotide ribosomal RNA is filed under the name uncultured eukaryote. RNAcentral's name for it is "SSU rRNA". It matches the Rfam family "Eukaryotic small subunit ribosomal RNA", at positions 592 to 1018 of the family's 1831-position model. The record is from RNAcentral.